ACACUCAUACCGGAUCAGGGCGCCCGACAGGGCUUGAUAGGGAAGAGGGGUGCGACUCCCCCGCGGACCCGCCGCUGUAAGCGAUGACAAGGGGCAACGGCCACUGGUUUUUGACUGGGAAGGCGCCCGGAGGAUGAAUCGCGAGCCAGAAGACCUGCCACUGAUCCACGCCACUC
RNAcentral lists this non-coding RNA (176 nucleotides) under Pelobacter propionicus. Lineage: Bacteria; Pseudomonadati; Thermodesulfobacteriota; Desulfuromonadia; Desulfuromonadales; Desulfuromonadaceae. RNAcentral also lists the same sequence under 1 other name. The record is from RNAcentral.